GAAGUGCGAUAAGUAGUGUGAAUUGCAGAAUUCAGUGAAUCAUCGAAUCUUUGAACGCACAUUGCGCCCUUUGGUAUUCCUUAGGGCAUGCCUGUUCGAGCGUCAUCUAAACCUUCAAGCCCUGCUUGGUGUUGGGUGCCUGUCCCGCCUCCGCGCGCGGACUCACCUCAAAUCCAUUGGCGGCCCCCGCGUCGGCCACGAGCGCAGCAGAAACGCGAACUCGUGAGCCCGUCCGGGCGGCUCCCAGAAGCUACACCCACCCAGUUUGACCUCGGAUCAGGUAGGGAUACCCGCUGAACUUAAGC
RNAcentral lists this unclassified non-coding RNA (305 nucleotides) under plant metagenome. RNAcentral's name for it is "partial contains 5.8S ribosomal RNA, internal transcribed spacer 2, and large subunit ribosomal RNA". The stretch from base 1 to 105 matches the Rfam family "5.8S ribosomal RNA", at positions 50 to 154 of the family's 154-position model. The record is from RNAcentral.